Molecule: RNA transcript, 2402 nt
Organism: Musa acuminata subsp. malaccensis (wild Malaysian banana)
Lineage: Eukaryota; Viridiplantae; Streptophyta; Magnoliopsida; Zingiberales; Musaceae
Gene name: protein KINASE OF THE OUTER CHLOROPLAST MEMBRANE 1
Source: RefSeq, a predicted model, not a curated record
GGCAUCGCUUCUCCUCUGUGUCUUCUCUCGAUUUCCUCCUUUUCUUCCACGAUCUGAUCGAGUAUUGGCUAUUUCUUUUCUGGAAUCGAUUUGUUUUCGGCUUCUUUUUAGGUUCUUUGAUCAAUCCAUCGACAUGAUCCUGUAGGAGUUUGGAUAUCGUCAGAGUAAACAAUGGCUGGACAAGUUGCUGCCUCACAACCCACUGAAUCAUUUGAAUACAUGCUGCUUGAGGGAGAUCCAUAUCAUUUAAGGCCUGUUGUAUCUACAACAACUCAGAAUAUCCCAUGGAUCGAGCCCAAUGUGCUGAAGUUGAAGCAUAGGAUAGGGCGAGGUCCUUUUGGGGAUGUAUGUAUUGCAACUCAUCACCAAAGUACCAAUGAUUAUGAACACUAUCAUGAAGUUGCUAUCAAAAUGUUAUAUCCCAUUAAGGAUGACCAGAUUCAGACUUGUUUGUCCAAGUUCGAUGAAGUAUUCUCCAAGUGCCAAGGGCUAGAAAAUGUUUGUCUUCUUGAUGGUGUUUCACUUCAAAAUGGAAGAGUCUGCAUUGCUAUGAAAUAUUAUGAGGGAUCAAUUGGUGAUAAGAUGGCUCGUCAAAAGGGUGGUAAACUUUCACUAUCUGAUGUCUUAAGGUAUAGUGCUGAUUUGGCUCAGGGAGUGUUGGAACUCCACAGGAGAGGGUUUCUUCUGCUCAACCUUAAGCCUUGCAACUUUCUUCUUGAUGACCAUGAUCGGGCAGUGAUAGGGGACUUUGGAAUUCCAUUUUUACUCCAUGGAUUUUCACUACCAUGUUCAGACCUAGUUCAGAGGCUUGGUACUCCAAACUACAUGGCUCCUGAACAAUGGGAACCAAGCAUCAAUGGUCCUAUCUCAUUUGAAACUGAUUCAUGGGGAUUUGGAUGUAGCAUUGUUGAGAUGCUAAGUGGCAUACAACCAUGGCAUGGUAGGUCACCUGAUGAAAUUUAUCAACUAGUUGUCAUAAAGAAAGAAAAGCCAAAAAUUCCUCAUGGCUUACCUCCAAAAAUGGAAGAUAUCCUUCAUGGAUGCUUUGAGGAUGAUUUCCGAAAUCGCCCUUUGAUGAAAGAUAUUUUACGUGCAUUCAAAAGUUGUGAUGGUGCUACUUGUAGUGAGAGUGAUGCUGACCACCUGAUGGCAGAAAAGUCAAGCCACAUUAAUUACACCAAUUGGUCACUCCUGAAGGACCAACUCCUAGUGGGUGACACGGUCCGUUCUAGGAAGCCUACAAACUCAUGCAAACCAGAGAGCAUGGAGAUCCCAGAGGGAACCAUUGUUGGCAAGGAAACCCAUGCGGAUAGUGAUGGUUUCAUUCUCAUCAGGGUUCAUGGAGUCUACAAUCCGCUUAGAGUUCACUGCUCCAUGGUGCAGAGGGUCACGAAUGGCUUUGUUGCCGGUGACUGGGUACGGGUGAUGACUGAUGACAAGAAGCAGUCUCCAGUGGGCAUUCUCCAUAAUAUAGAGCGUGAUGGAAGGGUAACAGUUGGCUUUAUUGGAAUGGACACUCUUUGGAAGGGGCACUAUUCAGAGCUUCAAAUUGCUGAAUCCUACUGCGUUGGCCAGUUUUUGAGGGUGAAAACAGGCAUCUCCUGUCCCAGGUUCGAAUGGCCACACAACCACAGAGGAGAAUGGGCGACUGGUAGGAUCUCACAGAUUCAUCCAAAUGGAUGCCUUGUGGUUAAAUUUCCAGGCAAGUUUAGCUUUGGAGAAGCUACAAGCUUUCUUGCAGACCCUUCAGAGAUGGAAGUAGUAAGCUUCAAGACAUGUGAGGGGUUGGCAAAGAAGUACCAGCACCUUGAAGAUAUCCACUGGGCUGUGAGGCCAUUAGUUAUUGCAUUGGGGUUGUUCACAGCAUUGAAGGUGGGGGUCUUCAUUGGAAAAAGCAUGGGCAAGUCGAGGAGAAAGAAGGUUGGUAAAGUUGUUAACAUCUCAGGACAGGUAGAGGAACAGCAGCAGGACGGGCAGAAUGGCUCCAAUUCAGUUUGGCUUCCUCAUCCGGUGGCAAAUAUCCUCUUUGGAGAUGCUGUUCCUGCUAGAUAAAUAUCCAAGGUCAUCAGUCGACAAAUAACUCAUCAAAAUUACACUCAUUGAUGUAUAUAAACAGUGGGUUGACUUUUGCUGGAGAUGAAUUGACUUGAAAUAUUGAACUGAUAAGAAAACAUUAGAAAAAGCUCAGGACAGAACCAGGAUCAGAGUAUCAUAGUUAUAUAUCAUUUUGGUGUUACAGGACUGAAUGAAAUCUCACAUCACGAGAUGCUAUUUGAGCUAAAGAGCUAUUUGUAGUAUUUCUGUGGCGAGUAUAUCAUUAAUUUAUGGUAUUGCAGAUAAAACUUGUAACAGCCAUUUGUAGAUACCAUGAAAUAUUCAUGAAAACACAAAUGUUUUGGAGA